Malania oleifera is the source of this 2525-nucleotide RNA transcript. It is a transcript of the gene named pentatricopeptide repeat-containing protein At4g13650-like, with no coding region annotated. Lineage: Eukaryota; Viridiplantae; Streptophyta; Magnoliopsida; Santalales; Ximeniaceae. The record is from RefSeq and is a predicted model, not a curated record. The transcript has 3 exons.
ACUGCCAAAAGAAAAAUGCACGCUGUCGUUGUGAAAGAAAAUGAUUUCGUAAAUUCGCCUUGCAGCGGGGAUGCACAGGGAUAGCUUGUGAAGUGGAGGAAGGAUGAAGGAGAAGAGAAAAUGAGCUUGCGUUUUCCCAAUUUUCACGCACGACACGCCUUGGAGGAAGCUGCAAAAGCCACCAAGCAAGUGUUUUGCCGCGCUCUGACGACCAAUAACCACAAAGCUUCUUACUCAGAUGACGAUUUAGUCUACAGUAGCGACGAGAAGCUCCCGCCCAGCGCUGUUGAUCUGGAACUUUUUGCUCAGUUGCAGCAAGAUGGGUCUGCGCAUAAUCCUUACAUCCUCAACAAGAUUAUAUCAUCUUGUGCGCAAACAUCUUCUCUUUUUAUGGGUAUUCAGAUUCAUUCCGCCGUUAUCAAGACGGGGUUCAGCUCUAAUGUCUACAUAUGCAGCGCUUUAGUGGAUAUGUACGGCAAGUGCAGUGUGAUUUCAAGUGCUCAUAAAUUAUUCGACGAAAUGCCUCAAAGAAACGCAGUCACUUGGAAUGUAUUGAUUUCUGGCUACCUUCAUUCAGAGUGCCCCAAAACUGCUGUUGGGUUGUUGUUAGAAAUGCUCAAAGAAGGGAUAGCUCCGACGCCAUUUAGCGCGUCUGCUUUGUUGGGUAGCAGCGCUCAAUUAGAAGCAGAGGAGCUGGGGGCUCAGGUGCAUGGUCUCUGUUUGAAAGCUGGGUUUUACUCUAAUGUUGCUGUGGGAACAGGUUUAAUCGUUAUGUACUCAAAAUGUUCGAAAGUUGGAGAUUCAAGACGGGUUUUUGACGAAAUGGCUGAUAGGAAUGUUAUUACUUGGACUUCCAUGGUUACGGGCUAUGCACACAACGAGAAACCUGAUGAGGCGAUGAUUCUAUUCAGAGAAACGCAACGUUUGGGCCUCAGAUCAAAUUAUGUGACCUAUAAUAGUCUGCUGAGCUCAUUUUGCAGUGCAGAAGAUUUAGAUCAUUGCAAGCAAGUCCACUGCCGGAUAAUUUGGGAAGGUUUUGAGUCAAAUGUAUAUUUAGCAGCCACCCUCUUGACUGUAUAUUCAGAAUGUAGUGGCAAUUUGGAGGACUUUCACAAGAUUUGUUUGGGUAUUACCAGAUGGGAUCAAGUCUCAUGGAAUGCCAUCAUUGCUGGUUUUUCUAAUUUAGGAAAUGGUGAGGAAGCCCUAAAAUGCUUCUCUAAAAUGAGGCAGGCUGGCAUCCAUGUGGACUCCUUCACGUUUACAAGCAUAUUAAAAGCGAUAGGAAGUAUUCCAGCCCUUCAAGAGGGAAAGCACACCCAUGCUUCAGUAUUCAAAACAGGGUACGCUUCUAAUACAUACGUUCAAAAUGGACUUGUUGCAAUGUAUGCAAGAUGCGGUGCAAUUAGUGAUUCGAAGAGGGUUUUCUGGUCAAUGGAGAAACGUGAUUUGAUCUCAUGGAAUUCCCUUCUGUCGGGAUGUGCCUACCAUGGAAAUGGAAGGGAGGCUGUUGAAGUGUUUGAACAAAUGAGAAAUUCUGGGGUAAAACCGGAUAACACCAGCUUCCUUGCCGUGAUUUCUGCAUGUAGCCAUGUUGGGUUGCUCGAUAAAGGACUUGAGUACUUCAAUUUGAUGAGAAAUUAUGCGCUGUUCGAACCCCCCAAAGUAGAGCACUAUGCUUGUAUUGUUGAUCUUUAUGGUCGAGCGGGGUGUCUCCACGAAGCAGAAGCCUUUAUCAAUAAUAUGCCAAUAGAGCCUGGACCAUCAGUUUACAAGACUCUGCUCAGUGCUUGUCGAGUUCAUGGAAAUAGAGAAAUUGCUGUACGUUCUGCAAAGAAGCUUUUGAAUCUGUACCCUGAUGAUCCUGCUUCAUACCUUCUACUAUCAAAUGUGUUGGCUGAGGGGGGUUCUUGGGAUGGAGUAGCAUGGGUGAGGAAGAUCAUGCAUGUUAGCAGAGUGAAGAAAAUUCCUGGUUUUAGUUGGAUUUGAGUUUAGAAAGAGGGAAUGACUACUUUUGUGCUCCGUGGAAGCAGUAAAGCAACCCUGAACUGGCAUCAUCCUAAUGAAACAGGCAGCUGAUACUUAGCUCGUUCCUCUGGAAAGGUAGACAGGUUGACAGAAAUUUAGGGACUGCCCUUAUGUUUGUGCUCCAGGGGAUGAGCUGAUUCAGGAAUGAGGUUUCGCUUCUUCAAGCAGAGAUGGGGCUCAAUUUCAUUUGGUUUCAUCAAUCGGCAUUUUGGGGCUGAAAAAAAUGUCAAUCAUGGAACUUAUAUUUCUGGUGCGCAGGAAAUGCGGUUCUAUCGUAUUAUGCAUUUGCGCGGGACAGGUUUGCCUGCAAGUCCGUCUUUGAAUUUAUGAUUGAGGAGUGAAAACUAAUGAAGACAGGUAAUUGCUUAGACAGGAAGAAACAAACCAACCCACUUGUCCUGAUUGAGGUGAUUGAAAAAAGAAAGAAAUGGCAGCCCUUUUUGUUCAGGGACAUCUCCAAAUCUAAUGUUUAAAUUCCAAAUCUUAGUCAAAUCCUUAAU